Molecule: ribosomal RNA, 504 nt
Filed under: Mycoplasmopsis gallinacea
Lineage: Bacteria; Bacillati; Mycoplasmatota; Mycoplasmoidales; Metamycoplasmataceae
Description: bacterial SSU rRNA
Rfam family: Bacterial small subunit ribosomal RNA
Source: RNAcentral
CGCCUGAGUAGUAUGCUCGCAAGAGUGAAACUUAAAGGAAUUGACGGGGAUCCGCACAAGCGGUGGAGCAUGUGGUUUAAUUUGAAGAUACGCGUAGAACCUUACCCACUCUUGACAUCUUCUGCAAAGCUAUAGAGAUAUAGUGGAGGUUAACAGAAUGACAGAUGGUGCAUGGUUGUCGUCAGCUCGUGUCGUGAGAUGUUCGGUUAAGUCCUGCAACGAGCGCAACCCUUGUCCUUAGUUAAACGUUCUAGGGAGACUGCCCGGGUAACCGGGAGGAAGGUGGGGACGACGUCAAAUCAUCAUGCCUCUUACGAGUGGGGCAACACACGUGCUACAAUGGAUGGUACAAAGAGACGCAAUACGGCGACGUGGAGCAAAUCUCAAAAAACCAUUCUCAGUUCGGAUUGUAGUCUGCAACUCGACUACAUGAAGUCGGAAUCGCUAGUAAUCGUAGAUCAGCUACGCUACGGUGAAUACGUUCUCGGGUCUUGUACACACCGC